UACACACCGCCCGUCACACCAUGGGAGCUGACUCAACCAGAAGACGAACAGGCUAACCGCAAGGAGGCCUACGGCGAAGGUGGGGUUGGUGACUGGGGUG
RNAcentral lists this ribosomal RNA (100 nucleotides) under uncultured bacterium. Its description in RNAcentral is "partial 16S ribosomal RNA". It matches the Rfam family "Bacterial small subunit ribosomal RNA", at positions 1384 to 1482 of the family's 1533-position model. The record is from RNAcentral.